Molecule: ribosomal RNA, 164 nt
Filed under: Exochaenium baumianum
Lineage: Eukaryota; Viridiplantae; Streptophyta; Magnoliopsida; Gentianales; Gentianaceae
Description: 5.8S ribosomal RNA
Rfam family: 5.8S ribosomal RNA
About the family: 5.8S ribosomal RNA (5.8S rRNA) is a component of the large subunit of the eukaryotic ribosome. It is transcribed by RNA polymerase I as part of the 45S precursor that also contains 18S and 28S rRNA. Functionally, it is thought that 5.8S rRNA may be involved in ribosome translocation.
Source: RNAcentral
AAAACGACUCUCGGCAAUGGAUAUCUCGGCUCUCGCAUCGAUGAAGAACGUAGCAAACUGCGAUACUUGGUGUGAAUUGCAGAAUCCCGUGAACCAUCGAGUCUUUGAACGCAAGUUGCGCCCGAAGCCAUCCGGCCGAGGGCACGUCUGCCUGGGCGUCCCGC